UGGGUCAGAAACACAAUCGCGGGGACUGGCUCAAAAGACAAAUUGACAGUUUUUUGAGCCAGUCUCCGAGGAAAGUCUGGACUUUGUAGGGCAAGACGCCUCCUAACAGGAGGGCAGGGUAACCUGACGGAAAGUGCCACAGAAAAUACACCGCCGAUGGACUUUUGUCACAGGUAAGGUUGAAAUUGUGCGGUAAGAGCGCACACUAGGCAUAGUGAUAUGUCUUGCGGUAAACCCCGUUUGAAGCAAGCUCAAAUAGGAGAAGAGAGUCGGCCCGGCUCUAUGAAUUCUCGGGUAGAGUGCUUGAGCGUAUAUGCAAAUAUAGGCCUAGAUAGAUGAUUGUGCGUCUUUGUUAUGAAGACCGACAGAAUCCGGCUUACUUCUGACCCACAUU
RNAcentral lists this RNase P RNA (394 nucleotides) under Candidatus Marinamargulisbacteria bacterium SCGC AAA071-K20. RNAcentral's name for it is "Bacterial RNase P class A". It matches the Rfam family "Bacterial RNase P class A". Rfam says of the family: Ribonuclease P (RNase P) is a ubiquitous endoribonuclease, found in archaea, bacteria and eukarya as well as chloroplasts and mitochondria. The record is from Rfam by way of RNAcentral. Lineage: Bacteria; Bacillati; Candidatus Margulisiibacteriota; Candidatus Marinamargulisbacteria.